This 253-nucleotide ribosomal RNA is filed under the name uncultured bacterium. Its description in RNAcentral is "partial 16S ribosomal RNA". It matches the Rfam family "Bacterial small subunit ribosomal RNA", at positions 524 to 776 of the family's 1533-position model. The record is from RNAcentral.
UACGUAGGGGGCAAGCGUUGUCCGGAUUUCUUGGGCGUAAAGCGCGUGUAGGCGGCCAGGUGGGUCGGGUGUGAAAAUUGGAGGCUCAACCUCCAGACGUCGAUCGAAACCAUCUGGCUAGAGUCCGGAAGAGGAGAAUGGAAUUCCCGGUGUAGCGGUGAAAUGCGUAGAUAUCGGGAGGAACAUCAGUGGCGAAGGCGGCCUUCUGGUCCAGUACUGACACUCAAGUGCGAAAGCGUGGGGAGCAAACAGG